RNAcentral lists this ribosomal RNA (245 nucleotides) under uncultured bacterium. RNAcentral describes it as "partial 16S ribosomal RNA". It matches the Rfam family "Bacterial small subunit ribosomal RNA", at positions 90 to 334 of the family's 1533-position model. The record is from RNAcentral.
CGUGAGCGGCGGACGGGUGAGUAACGCGUGGGUAACCGUACCUCAUACAGGGGAGUAACAGUUGGAAACGGCUGCUAAUACCGCAUAAGCGCACAGUACCGCAUGGUACCGUGUGAAAAACUCCGGUGGUAUGAGAUGGACCCGCGUCUGAUUAGCUAGUUGGUGGGGUAACGGCCUACCAAGGCGACGAUCAGUAGCCGACCUGAGAGGGUGACCGGCCACAUUGGGACUGAGACACGGCCCAA